GGGUUGUGAGGUUAAGCGACUAAGCGUACACGGUGGAUGCCCUGGCAGUCAGAGGCGAUGAAGGACGUGCUAAUCUGCGAUAAGCGCCGGUAAGGUGAUAUGAACCGUUAUAACCGGCGAUUUCCGAAUGGGGAAACCCAGUGUGACUCGUCACACUAUCAUUAACUGAAUCCAUAGGUUAAUGAGGCGAACCGGGGGAACUGAAACAUCUAAGUACCCCGAGGAAAAGAAAUCAACCGAGAUUCCCCCAGUAGCGGCGAGCGAACGGGGAGGAGCCCAGAGCCUGAAUCAGCAUGUGUGUUAGUGGAAGCGUCUGGAAAGGCGCGCGAUACAGGGUGACAGCCCCGUACACAAAAGCGCAUGUGCUGUGAGCUCGAUGAGUAGGGCGGGACACGUGGUAUCCUGUCUGAAUAUGGGGGGACCAUCCUCCAAGGCUAAAUACUCCUGACUGACCGAUAGUGAACCAGUACCGUGAGGGAAAGGCGAAAAGAACCCCGGCGAGGGGAGUGAAAAAGAACCUGAAACCGUGUACGUACAAGCAGUGGGAGC
RNAcentral lists this ribosomal RNA (549 nucleotides) under Salmonella enterica subsp. enterica serovar Infantis. RNAcentral's name for it is "bacterial LSU rRNA". It matches the Rfam family "Bacterial large subunit ribosomal RNA", at positions 1 to 580 of the family's 2925-position model. Lineage: Bacteria; Pseudomonadati; Pseudomonadota; Gammaproteobacteria; Enterobacterales; Enterobacteriaceae. The record is from RNAcentral. RNAcentral also lists the same sequence under 21 other names.